Molecule: non-coding RNA, 52 nt
Organism: Otolemur garnettii (small-eared galago)
Lineage: Eukaryota; Metazoa; Chordata; Mammalia; Primates; Galagidae
Source: Rfam
UUUUUAGUAUAAGUAUGUCCCAUGCAAUAUUUGGAACAUACUUGUAUUAAAA